This is a long non-coding RNA of Hyla sarda, 1076 nucleotides long. RefSeq lists it as uncharacterized. The transcript has 3 exons. Lineage: Eukaryota; Metazoa; Chordata; Amphibia; Anura; Hylidae. The record is from RefSeq and is a predicted model, not a curated record.
UAUUAGUAAGCGUGGAUAAACGGAAGCACACUGAACGUGGAGUAAUAGCAGUAUGUAAAAUGUAUGCGACGGCUCUGGAGACAGGACGGAAAGAAAUGAUGCAAGUAUGGACAAAAAUUUACCACUAACAUAAAGUAGAAUAUGUCGUGAAAAAACAAUCUCGGAAUAAGAAUGAAAGGGCUAAAGAACCUAGAAGUUGCCACACCUGACUAAGGUUAAUGAAUUUACUUUGAUCCAAGUCAUGUUUUUGUUAUCUCCUUUGCUCUUGAUUAGUUACAAAUGUGAGAGACCAUAUUUAGAAAGCAAAAGCAAGCUGUAUAUCACACAUUUCUAUUUCCUACUGAAGAAAGGGUCGAGCUAUUACUGGCUAUAGCACCCUGAAACGCGUCUAGGCUACAGAUUUUAAUUUUAUAAGUCACUAUAGCACCAUAUGGACUUACAUCCAAUGUGAAUACGGCACAGCGGCAUUGGCUGGUUCAGACGAACUGAUCUAGACAUCCGUCUUUUACUACUGGUCCGGUCCGAGUCUUUGGACUGUCUCACUGACCUGUCGAGAGCGAACUAUCCCCGCCAGGAUUUCAUCCACCACGAGGGACGCCACGAUAUACCAACACUGCAUCUGCCCGUCCAUCAUAGAGGGGGAGUACGGCCGGUACAUAACGCGCUACGCCAAGUGCACCCCUGAAUCAGCGACAGCUCCAACAUUGCUGCCUGCACCAUCACAGCAGACUACUACAGAAGUAUUCAUCUGGCAGUCCCAGGAUUUGGUGAGAUCGUAACAAUUACCACAGUGAUACAUGUAUUGAAGUCAGUGACAGUUUGGUUUGUUGGACUCAUAGCAGUCUUUUUUUAUGUCCAGCUGAGAUCGGACCAUAUAAUUAUAAAUAGAUCAUACAGACUGCCGUUACAUUGAACUAUCAAUUGGCAAACCAUUGGAUGCCGUAGUAUUAGACUAAUGCUAAUUUAGAAAUGUGAAUAAUGUUCUGAAUUUUAUAUAAAUGUGAAUAAUGUUCUGAAUUUUAUAUAUCGUGUGAAUAUCCCCACUAGGGCCCAGUGGUGGUAUAUUCUUGCAUUAG